GACGAACGCUGGCGGCGUGCUUAACACAUGCAAGUCGAACGGAAAGGCCUUGCUUUUGUGGGGGGCUGGGGUGGCGAGCGGGGGAGAAACGCGAGUAUAACGUGCCUGUGAUUUUCGGAAAUCUGCUGGAAACUGGGGAAAAUAGCGGUAAUUAGCGCUUGCUGCGUGGGGUGGGUUGGAAAGUUUCGGCGGUUGGGGUUGGACUCGCGGCUUAUCAGGCUGUUGGUGGGGUAGUGGCUUACGUAGUCGUUGACGGGUAGCCGGCCUGAGAGGGUGAACGGCCACACUGGGACUGAGAUACGGCCCAGAAUCAUACGGGAGGCAGGAGUGGGGAAUAUUAGACAGUGGGCGGGAGCCUGAGGCAGCAAUGCCGCCCGCGGGGUUGCGGCCUCCUGUUGGCAGAGCGCUUUCGCCUGGGACGGAGGGGGAGUGACGGUAAUGGGUGAAGAAGCACCGGCUAACUACGUG
Molecule: ribosomal RNA, 468 nt
Filed under: uncultured bacterium
Lineage: Bacteria
Description: partial 16S ribosomal RNA
Rfam family: Bacterial small subunit ribosomal RNA
Source: RNAcentral